UACAGAGGUCCCAAGCGUUGUUCGGAUUCACUGGGCGUAAAGGGUGCGUAGGCGGUCGGGUAAGUCUGAUGUGAAAUCUCACAGCUUAACUGUGAAACUGCAUUGGAUACUAUCCGGCUUGAGGAAUGGAGGGGAGACUGGAAUACUUGGUGUAGCAGUGAAAUGCGUAGAUAUCAAGUGGAACACCAGUGGCGAAGGCGAGUCUCUGGACAUUUCCUGACGCUGAGGCACGAAAGCCAGGGGAGCGAACGGG
Molecule: ribosomal RNA, 253 nt
Filed under: uncultured bacterium
Lineage: Bacteria
Description: partial 16S ribosomal RNA
Rfam family: Bacterial small subunit ribosomal RNA
Source: RNAcentral